UAUUGGGCAAUGGGCGCAAGCCUGACCCAGCAACGCCGCGUGAAGGAAGAAGGCUUUCGGGUUGUAAACUCCUUUUGUCAGGGACGAAGCAAGUGACGGAACCUGACGAAUAAGCUCCGGCUAACUCCGUGCCAGCAGCCGCGGUAAUACGUAGGUGGCAAGCGUUAUCCGGAUUUACUGGGUGUAAAGGGCGUGUAGGCGGGGAAGCAAGUCAGAUGUGAAAACCACGGGCUCAACCUGUGGCCUGCAUUUGAAACUGUUUUUCUUGGGUGCUGGAGAGGCAAUCGGAAUUCCGUGUGUAGCGGUGAAAUGCGUAGAUAUACGGAGGAACACCAGUGGCGAAGGCGGAUUGCAGGACAGUAACUGACGCUGAGGCGCGAAAGCGUGGGGAGCAAACA
Molecule: ribosomal RNA, 398 nt
Filed under: uncultured bacterium
Lineage: Bacteria
Description: bacterial SSU rRNA
Rfam family: Bacterial small subunit ribosomal RNA
Source: RNAcentral